Molecule: non-coding RNA, 110 nt
Organism: Acanthosepion pharaonis
Lineage: Eukaryota; Metazoa; Mollusca; Cephalopoda; Sepiida; Sepiidae
Source: the annotation of a GenBank genome assembly
UGAUCAUAUCAUGUUGAAAUACCGGUUCCCGUACGAUCACCACAGUUAAACAACAUAGAGCCUAGUCGCAACCUAAAUGGGUGACCGCUUGGGAAUAUCGGGUGUUGUAA